Molecule: ribosomal RNA, 253 nt
Filed under: uncultured bacterium
Lineage: Bacteria
Description: partial 16S ribosomal RNA
Rfam family: Bacterial small subunit ribosomal RNA
Source: RNAcentral
UACGUAGGGUCCGAGCGUUGUCCGGAAUUAUUGGGCGUAAAGAGCUCGUAGGCGGUUUGUCGCGUCUGCUGUGAAAUCCCGAGGCUCAACCUUGGGUCUGCAGUGGGUACGGGCAGACUGGAGUGCGGUAGGGGAGAAUGGAAUUCCUGGUGUAGCGGUGGAAUGCGCAGAUAUCAGGAGGAACACCGAUGGCGAAGGCAGUUCUCUGGGCCGUAACUGACGCUGAGGAGCGAAAGCGUGGGGAGCGAACAGG